GACGAACGCUGGCGGCGUGCUUAACACAUGCAAGUCGAACGGACAGGCCCUGCUUUUGUGGGGUGCUCGAGUGGCGAACGGGUGAGUAACACGUGAGUAACCUGCCCUUGACUUUGGGAUAACUUCAGGAAACUGGGGCUAAUACCGGAUAGGAGCUCCUGCUGCAUGGUGGGGGUUGGAAAGUUUCGGCGGUUGGGGAUGGACUCGCGGCUUAUCAGCUUGUUGGUGGGGUAGUGGCUUACCAAGGCUUUGACGGGUAGCCGGCCUGAGAGGGUGACCGGCCACAUUGGGACUGAGAUACGGCCCAGACUCCUACGGGAGGCAGCAGUGGGAAAUAUUGCACAAUGGGCGGAAGCCUGAUGCAGCAACGCCGCGUGCGGGAUGACGGCCUUCGGGUUGUAAACCGCUUUCGCCUGUGACGAAGCGUGAGUGACGGUAAUGGGUAAAGAAGCACCGGCUAACUACGUG
RNAcentral lists this ribosomal RNA (468 nucleotides) under uncultured bacterium. RNAcentral's name for it is "partial 16S ribosomal RNA". It matches the Rfam family "Bacterial small subunit ribosomal RNA", at positions 28 to 507 of the family's 1533-position model. The record is from RNAcentral.